UUGACUCUUAAAUGAGAAUCGUUAUGAUUAUCACAUCCAGUCGCGAGACUGGUGAUCUCUGAAAGGCCCUUGGUUCGGACUUUCAGAUGUCUCCUCAUCAGGCUAAUCACGGUUAUUGACCCGGCACUUUGCCGGGUCUUUUUUUU
Molecule: small RNA, 146 nt
Organism: Pseudomonas rhizosphaerae
Lineage: Bacteria; Pseudomonadati; Pseudomonadota; Gammaproteobacteria; Pseudomonadales; Pseudomonadaceae
Rfam family: PrrF RNA
About the family: PrrF RNA is a small RNA involved in iron homeostasis and is found exclusively in Pseudomonas species.
Source: Rfam